Long non-coding RNA from Vigna unguiculata (cowpea), 2099 nucleotides. The record is from RefSeq and is a predicted model, not a curated record. Lineage: Eukaryota; Viridiplantae; Streptophyta; Magnoliopsida; Fabales; Fabaceae.
AAGAAAUGCGUAAAUUGUGAAAAUUGGGGUGCAGACAGCGAAUAUAAUCAGACCCAAAAUCAGACCAAUAAAAACAUGGGGUGCGAGAUCAGCAAUUAUGGAGGUGCACAAAGAAGUUUCCAAAACAAAGGAGGGUGAGAAAGAAAAGUUACAGGUGCGGGAAGUAAAGAAAACAAAACAAGCCCAAAAAAAGACAAUGAAACAUGAGGAGUAAGAUCAGUAAAACAGGAGGUUGCACAAAGAAGAAAACACAGCAGGCCACAUAGAAAAUGGAGGUGCGGAGAUUGAAAAUAGGGGUACGCGUGGCGGAAAUGUUCAACCUAACUCCCACUGAAGCUAAACCCUUCUUGAAAAUUAAAGCUUCUCCUUCUCUUGCAGCAGUCUCUUCUUCCCAUCACCGCACACCACAACGUCCAGGCCGCCGCUGCACGUCCCACCGCCGUGGACGCCAGUCACCAUCGGCAGUGUCGCCGACGUGAACCCAGCUGCCUGAGUUGCUUCCUCGUUUCUUUCUCCUGCGCGCGAGGCUCCUUCGUCGCACCUCCGUAGCCAACCAAGACUUGCCGCCACUGUACCGGCCACCACGAUCGGAACACGCGAGCACCAUGGAAGCUCAACCUCCGGCCUUCGCGACCCAGAUCGACACCGCUGCGCCCCAAGUCUUUCAUUCUUCUUCUUGCGCGAGACAGAUGCUCAAGCUUUGCUCCCUCUCUUCUCAGGCGUGGCUCGAACGGCCUCCGCUUCGUUCUCUCAGACCACCGCGACCGAGGCCGCCGUCGUAGCAUCAUCGCCGUGAACUGGAACGCUACUGGAUACACGAUUUCAGCUCUCUCUUUCCUCACGUCAAAGCGACCUAACCCAAGCACUAGUUUGCACACGACUCGCCGCGACGCGGUGAAGCUCCAACUCGCCGGCGGCGCUGCCGCCGGCGAUGAUUUUAUCUCCUUCUCACUUCUCUGUUUUGGUUGAAUGCGUGUGACUGGGGAAGGUGAGACUUGAAUGUUUGGCACUGGAAUUGGGGUUUGGGUUCUCUGUUAUUUUGGCUUUUUAUGCGGGUAUAAGAUGAAGAUGAGAAAGAACAAAAAUUAACAGAUGGUGGGAGAUUGCGUGUCGGUGAUGAUGAUUGCAGUGUCUGGACUUUGUAUUUUCAAGUGUGUUUUUUUUUCUUUUCAGGUGGAAUAUGAGUGUGGAGUAUGUAACAGUGGGGGAAUUGGUGAAUGGACAAAUGGUCGGGAAUAUAGGGGUGAUGGAAGCUCGUGUGUUGUUGGCUGACUUUGGGGAAUGGAGACUACAGGGAUAAAUGGAGGUAAUAUGUGGCUAUGAAGUUCGGUUGGGAAGUGACUGUGGUGGGUUAGAAGAUAAAGCUGGUCAUGUUUAUGUAUGUACAGGCAGACAUGGUGAAGAAGGACUGAAUGCAUUACGCGAUAUUUGGUGUUAGUCGCUGUGAUUGGAUUUUGAUUUUUUUGUUUUGUUGUUUUUGUUUAGAUGGCAUAGGCACAUUGUAAAUGGAGAUCACAACAUCACAACGGCUUUUUACAUGCAGAUGCGCGUGAAGCAAAAGAACACAGCACAAAAGAACACAGCACAACAGAACAUCAUAUUCGCAUAUUUAACCAGUCGCACACAUUCCAGUUCAUAUUCACGGCAAUGUUACUUACCUCUUGAUGCUUCUUCACUCGUGUUCCUCCUUUCACUGUGGGAGUCUCCUCCUUUUCAAAUGGCUUUCCUCCCUUGAUAUUACCAUGCCAGUUUCCCCUUUCAUCAUACUCUGCACAACGUUCUGAGAUGACCAAAAGCAUAAGCCAGGAUGCCUCCCAGCCACCCUAUCAGUGUAGCUACGUCUGUUGUCCGCUGCCAUGCCUGUCAUUGGUGCAGCCGUGAUACACUUGCCCACGAUUUCCUUUUGAGUGUCGAAACCUCAAGAGCAGAGUAACGUGGGAAGAUCAAAAAAAAUCUUUGCAUGAGAGUGGAAAGGUCAGCAGAGAUGGAACGGAGGUGGAACAGCCAAAGUUGACUUCAAAUUUUCACCCUCUUUUUUUCAUUUUAAUAAAUUUUUUUAAUACAAUAUUUACAAAAACACAAAAACGAAAAUGAUCAAA